This 974-nucleotide ribosomal RNA is filed under the name Enterococcus faecium. RNAcentral's name for it is "bacterial SSU rRNA". It matches the Rfam family "Bacterial small subunit ribosomal RNA", at positions 60 to 1002 of the family's 1533-position model. The record is from RNAcentral. Lineage: Bacteria; Bacillati; Bacillota; Bacilli; Lactobacillales; Enterococcaceae.
AGUCGAACGCUUCUUUUUCCACCGGAGCUUGCUCCACCGGAAAAAGAGGAGUGGCGAACGGGUGAGUAACACGUGGGUAACCUGCCCAUCAGAAGGGGAUAACACUUGGAAACAGGUGCUAAUACCGUAUAACAAUCAAAACCGCAUGGUUUUGAUUUGAAAGGCGCUUUCGGGUGUCGCUGAUGGAUGGACCCGCGGUGCAUUAGCUAGUUGGUGAGGUAACGGCUCACCAAGGCCACGAUGCAUAGCCGACCUGAGAGGGUGAUCGGCCACAUUGGGACUGAGACACGGCCCAAACUCCUACGGGAGGCAGCAGUAGGGAAUCUUCGGCAAUGGACGAAAGUCUGACCGAGCAACGCCGCGUGAGUGAAGAAGGUUUUCGGAUCGUAAAACUCUGUUGUUAGAGAAGAACAAGGAUGAGAGUAACUGUUCAUCCCUUGACGGUAUCUAACCAGAAAGCCACGGCUAACUACGUGCCAGCAGCCGCGGUAAUACGUAGGUGGCAAGCGUUGUCCGGAUUUAUUGGGCGUAAAGCGAGCGCAGGCGGUUUCUUAAGUCUGAUGUGAAAGCCCCCGGCUCAACCGGGGAGGGUCAUUGGAAACUGGGAGACUUGAGUGCAGAAGAGGAGAGUGGAAUUCCAUGUGUAGCGGUGAAAUGCGUAGAUAUAUGGAGGAACACCAGUGGCGAAGGCGGCUCUCUGGUCUGUAACUGACGCUGAGGCUCGAAAGCGUGGGGAGCAAACAGGAUUAGAUACCCUGGUAGUCCACGCCGUAAACGAUGAGUGCUAAGUGUUGGAGGGUUUCCGCCCUUCAGUGCUGCAGCUAACGCAUUAAGCACUCCGCCUGGGGGAGUACGACCGCAAGGUUGAAACUCAAAGGAAUUGACGGGGGGCCCGCACAAGCGGUGGAGCAUGUGGUUUAAUUCAAAGCAACGCGAAGAACCUUACCAGGUCUUGACAUCCUUUGACCACUCUA